Molecule: long non-coding RNA, 833 nt
Organism: Sebastes umbrosus (honeycomb rockfish)
Lineage: Eukaryota; Metazoa; Chordata; Actinopteri; Perciformes; Sebastidae
Exons: 5
Source: RefSeq, a predicted model, not a curated record
AAGGCAAAGAUGCGCACCAAGUGCAUUAUUUUUUAAUUUUGAAUGAAGCUGGUGCUUGUGGGCUGAAGUGCAUUUCAAUUGCAAAUGUCUGUAAAUGUCUCUAGCUUACACAAGAGAAUGUGAUGUAAUGUAGCACAAGAGAUAAGGUACGGUCCCAUUACACUUCUGUCCUGCACAUUUUUACUCUCCCGUUCUCCCAUUCUUCCCAGUCUUCCAUUCACUUCAACUGAAACACGUACCAUGAAUGAAUUCAAGUGUGCAUUUCCUGUUUAUAUGCAAUCCUCAGGCCACCUCUGACAUACUUGCAGCUUUCUGACAAGUGUGGCAAUGUGAAAUUGCAAUGCAAGUUUUGGGUCCAGCCAGAUACCAAGUGGGAGGAAGUGGAGACACGUCGUCCAUCUUUAUAUACAGUCUAUGGCUGAAACCCAGACGCUAUUUCGGAAAGAGGAGGUGGUGGCAGGCGGGGGCCAGGAAAAAGCAACGGAUUAGAAGUGGGUGGGAAAGAUGAGUCUGAUGCAACUGAGCAACAAUAAAGAACGUCAGUUCUGCCAGCGAGCAUCACAUGCAGUGAUGUCCUCAGACCAUUACGAGAGCGCCCGCAGCGCUUCUUUAGCACUCACUAUCUAUCAUUCUCCCUCUCCCACUCCCGUCAGCCUCAGUGUGUACCCCUCGCCCCCCCUCCUCCCCUUGUCUUUCUGUCUCCCUCUGGCUCCAGCCUGGACACAGUGUUGUACAUGUAUGUGGACUGCCAUCAGCUCACAUUAAAUAAAUGUCCUCUUGGCUGAGCCUACAGGGAUUGGAGUUGGUACUGUGUGUGUGUGUGUUGUGAAUGC